AGAAAAGCUCAAGAUCAGACAGAUUCUCAGCCAAGUUCUACAAGACUUUCAAAGAAAAAAUUUUAACACCAAUAUUCCUCAAAUUAUUCCAUGGAAUAGAAAAGGAGGAAACCCUUCCAAACUCAUUCUAUGAAGCUAGUAUCACCCUGAUACCAAAACGAAUCAGAUAAAGACACAUCAAGGAAAGAAAUCAGACCAAUAUCCCUGAUGAAUAUAGAUGCAAAACUUCUCAAUAAAAUUCUGACAAAUUGCAUACAAAAACAUAUUAAAAAGACAGUGCACCACGAUUGAGUGGGGUUCAUCCCAGGGAUGCAAGGUUGGUUCAACAUACAGAAAUCAAUAAACAUAAUUCAUCACAUCAAUAGACUUAAAGACAAGAAUCGCAUGAUUAUCUCAAUAGAUGCAGAAAAAGCAUUCAACAAAAUACAGUACCCUUUCAUGUUUAAAACACUAGAAAAACUAGGGAUAUUAGGAAUGUACCUCAACAUUGUAAAAGCUAUAUAUGCUAAACCUAGGGCCAACA
RNAcentral lists this long non-coding RNA (523 nucleotides) under Marmota monax (woodchuck). The record is from RNAcentral. Lineage: Eukaryota; Metazoa; Chordata; Mammalia; Rodentia; Sciuridae.